GAUGAACGCUGGCGGCGUGCUUAACACAUGCAAGUCGAACGGAAAGGCCCAAGCUUGCUUGGGUACUCGAGUGGCGAACGGGUGAGUAACACGUGGGUGAUCUGCCCUGCACUUCGGGAUAAGCCUGGGAAACUGGGUCUAAUACCGGAUAGGACCACUUCUUGGAUGUUGUGGUGGAAAGUUUUUUCGGUGUGGGAUGAGCUCGCGGCCUAUCAGCUUGUUGGUGGGGUAAUGGCCUACCAAGGCGUCGACGGGUAGCCGGCCUGAGAGGGUGUACGGCCACAUUGGGACUGGGAUACGGCCCAGACUCCUACGGGAGGCAGCAGUGGGGAAUAUUGCACAAUGGGCGCAAGCCUGAUGCAGCGACGCCGCGUGGGGGAUGACGGCCUUCGGGUUGUAAACUCCUUUCGCUAGGGACGAAGCGUUUUGUGACGGUACCUGGAGAAGAAGCACCGGCUAACUACGUG
This 467-nucleotide ribosomal RNA is filed under the name uncultured bacterium. Its description in RNAcentral is "partial 16S ribosomal RNA". It matches the Rfam family "Bacterial small subunit ribosomal RNA", at positions 28 to 507 of the family's 1533-position model. The record is from RNAcentral.